GAAAAAAAGACUCCAUGAGCCAGUUACGCCACUUCAGCACAAGGUCUUGAAUAGCCUAUACGAAUUCUCACAAGGAGAGAGACGACCCUUCUCUUACGUGGGACACGGAGAUGGAAGAAUGGUAGGACCGACUUUCAGACUUAGCCAAGGAACGACCGAGACCUCGAACAUGAGAAAGACUGACGCCUGAUUCAGGAAGGGACACGAGGGCUCCUCUUUCUCACUGGAAGAUCUUAAUAUUCUACAGUAGAAUAAGUCCCCAACCUUAAAAAUGAAGGAUCAAAAGUCUGCUUUCCAAAACCCACGCAAAUGGAGGCCGAUGCCCUCAGACCCAUAACAGGGGGAGAACGAAGCUUUUCCAUAUAGCAACUUCCUCCAUUAUAGGAGGCCUCUGUCAUUAGAAGAAGACCGCUUUGAAGCUAGGAGACCAAAAAAAAAUUACUAAACCAGCCAUCUACGCGGGUUGGCCACUAAAUAAGAAGGCCUCUACGAACGCUUUCACUAGAGAAAGAGAGAAAGGCCCGUUCGGCUAUGUAAAGAAGUCCCUGCAGGCUCCAACCCAGUCCUAACAUUCUACAAUAAUAGUGUCCGACGUCUAAUAGAAGGGGCACCGCUUUCAUUCCUGCUUGG
This 630-nucleotide unclassified non-coding RNA is filed under the name Hevea brasiliensis (rubber tree). Lineage: Eukaryota; Viridiplantae; Streptophyta; Magnoliopsida; Malpighiales; Euphorbiaceae. The record is from RNAcentral.